RNAcentral lists this non-coding RNA (45 nucleotides) under Trichobilharzia regenti. The record is from RNAcentral. Lineage: Eukaryota; Metazoa; Platyhelminthes; Trematoda; Strigeidida; Schistosomatidae.
AUCUAGCUGACGAGUCCCAAAUAGGACGAAAUGCCCAUCCUGGAU